Non-coding RNA from Paramuricea clavata, 97 nucleotides. Lineage: Eukaryota; Metazoa; Cnidaria; Anthozoa; Malacalcyonacea; Plexauridae. The record is from the annotation of a GenBank genome assembly.
ACUUGACCGCGGCUGGGAUUCGAACCCGCGACCUUCGCAUUUCUAGAAAUGCGAAGGUCGCGGGUUCGAAUCCCAGCCGCGGUCAAGUAGAAUUUUC